RNAcentral lists this ribosomal RNA (278 nucleotides) under uncultured bacterium. RNAcentral describes it as "partial 16S ribosomal RNA". It matches the Rfam family "Bacterial small subunit ribosomal RNA", at positions 506 to 783 of the family's 1533-position model. The record is from RNAcentral.
UGCCAGCCGCCGCGGUAACACGAACCGGACAAACGUUAUUCGGAAUUAUUGGGCUUAAAGGGUGCGUAGGCGGUGUGGUAAGUGAGGUGUGAAAGCCCACGGCUCAACCGUGGAAUUGCGCUUCAUACUGCCGUGCUAGAGGGAGACAGAGGUAAGCGGAACUGAUGGUGGAGCGGUGAAAUGCGUUGAUAUUAUCAGGAACACCGGUGGCGAAAGCGGCUUACUGGGUCUCUUCUGACGCUGAGGAAGAAAAGCUGGGGAACCAAACGGAAUAAGAA